GCCUUUUAUAUGCCGUGACAGGGAGCGUUGGUCGACGUCAUACCCACCACCAUGUGAACAGCAGCAAAAUUUAUUCUAAGGAAAAUUGAUACAUCAGUGAUGGUGGGGCCAUCACAUUAUCAGCUGUUGUGGAUUUCUCAAUUCAACGUUUAUAUUGCAGACUCCACAUAAGGUAAAACACUUCCAUUCAGCAAUUGGUGUGCAGUGUCCAGAUAGUCAACAUUUAAAGACUUCCUGAUCAUCAUGUGGAGGUGAUGGUACAUGAGACUGACAAGUAACAGCACAGCAGUUAUUUAAUGACAUGACAUGCCAUACCAGUCAUUACACUCCAGAUCAUUGCCCAGAGCACAGAAGACAUGGUGGCAUUAAUAAACAUGGAGAGACACAGCAUACAACUAGGAACCUUUCUAUCCUAACUCAGCGGUGACCGGCACCGCUGCCUCAAGGCAGAAGAC
Molecule: long non-coding RNA, 455 nt
Organism: Homarus americanus (American lobster)
Lineage: Eukaryota; Metazoa; Arthropoda; Malacostraca; Decapoda; Nephropidae
Exons: 5
Source: RefSeq, a predicted model, not a curated record